Vicugna pacos (alpaca) is the source of this 107-nucleotide small nuclear RNA. The record is from Ensembl. Lineage: Eukaryota; Metazoa; Chordata; Mammalia; Artiodactyla; Camelidae.
GUGCUCGCUUAGGCAGCACAUACGUUAAAAUUGGAAUGAUAAAGAGAAGAUUAACAUGGCCCCUGUGCAAGGAUGACACGCAAAUUCAUGAAGAGUUCCAUAUUUAA